CGCCGGCCGUAGAAGGCGGAGAGGACGGCUAUGGCAGUCCUGGGGGGGCAGCUGAUGGAGAGGGUGUCUCCCUGACAGGCGUCAGCCGUGUGGUUCCGCAGGAUCCUGUGCAGCAAACAUGUGACUUUUGCGGGUCACCUGAGUAUUUCCUACGGUCACGGAUGAGCGUCCCUCCCUGAAUCGCCAUCGUAGGGUGAUGGAGAGGUUUUUGCGUCUCAACGAUCCUAGGAGCUAAUUUGGGGCAGACAGGUCUUCCAAGGCAAACUGGUCCCAGCUCUGCGUAUCUGGCCUGCUUGGAGACCUUGGGUGGGAUGCUGGACGGUGCCCCCUCUGGGGACUCCAUUGUUCUAC
Molecule: long non-coding RNA, 351 nt
Organism: Brienomyrus brachyistius
Lineage: Eukaryota; Metazoa; Chordata; Actinopteri; Osteoglossiformes; Mormyridae
Exons: 3
Source: RefSeq, a predicted model, not a curated record